AUGAGAAUUAGCGGAUGGAAAGAAAAACUCUUAUCCACUGGAGGUAAGGAAGUUCUUCUCAAGUCUGUUGUUCAAGCUAUCCCAACUUAUGCUAUGUCGGUCUUUAAAAUUCCUAAAAAAAUUUGUAAAGGAAUAACUGACGAGAUGUCACAUUUUUGGUGGGGUGAUGACGACAACCAGAGAAGGAUGCAUUGGAUGGCGUGA
This 204-nucleotide ribosomal RNA is filed under the name Triticum aestivum (bread wheat). RNAcentral describes it as "partial small subunit ribosomal RNA". Lineage: Eukaryota; Viridiplantae; Streptophyta; Magnoliopsida; Poales; Poaceae. The record is from RNAcentral.